CGCCUGGUCGGAAACCAGGCCCAAUGAAGGAG
Olsenella profusa F0195 is the source of this 32-nucleotide regulatory RNA element. It matches the Rfam family "L31-Coriobacteria ribosomal protein leader". NCBI's taxonomy places the organism in Bacteria, Bacillati, Actinomycetota, Coriobacteriia, Coriobacteriales, Atopobiaceae. The record is from Rfam.